GGAUUUUUGUUUUGUUUUGUUUUGUUUAUAAUGACCAGCUUCUUUUAUUAAUAAAUGUCUAUGAGAAGUUGAGUCCCAGAAGUCAUGAACCUUGAGAGCUCUAUGGAACAAGGCAUACUUUUAUUCCCUAGAUGUGUAAAAAGGGAAGUGCUUUCCUGCCCAUCCUGAAGAACUAUGAACCUGGAGGGGAAUGCACCACUGAAAUGGUGUGAGUAGGAAUGAUUUUCCACAGAGGAUGCCUUACAGCUGUAAAACCUUAGGUCUCACAUUUGAAUUCCACUCAGACUGGUUCCUAGGUCAGAAGGCAGAAUUCCCAGCCAAAGGCUGUUUACUGACCCCUUUGAAGUGAGUGUAUGCCAUAAAUUUAUUCCCUCAUGUCUGGGCACCAAUAGCAGUAACUAGAGGCCUUGAGGCCAAGAGAAGACAAGAGGUCCCCUGGUACAGUUACAUUCACU
Molecule: long non-coding RNA, 455 nt
Filed under: Gallus gallus (chicken)
Lineage: Eukaryota; Metazoa; Chordata; Aves; Galliformes; Phasianidae
Source: RNAcentral